CCUUCUGUGCCGCAGUUAACACAAUAAGUAUUCCGCCUGGGGAGUACGGUCGCAAGAUUAAAACUCAAAGGAAUUGACGGGGGCCCGCACAAGCAGCGGAGCAUGUGGUUUAAUUCGAAGCAACGCGAAGAACCUUACCUAGACUUGACAUCCCCUGAAUUACUCGUAACGGAGGAAGCCCUUCGGGGCAGGGAGACAGGUGGUGCACGGUUGUCGUCAGCUCGUGUCGUGAGAUGUUGGGUUAAGUCCCGCAACGAGCGCAACCCUUAUCAUUAGUUGCUACCAUUAAGUUGAGCACUCUAAUGAGACCGCCCGGGUUAACCGGGAGGAAGGUGGGGAUGACGUCAAAUCAUCAUGCCCCUUAUGUCUAGGGCUACACACGUGCUACAAUGGUGAGUACAGAGAGAUGCAAGACCGCGAGGUGGAGCUAAACUCAAAAACUCAUCCCAGUUCGGAUUGUAGGCUGAAACUCGCCUACAUGAAGCCGGAGUUGCUAGUAAUCGCGAAUCAGCAUGUCGCGGUGAAUACGUUCCCGGGCCUUGUACACACCGCCCGUCACACCAUGAGAGUUGGCAACACCCGAAGUCCGUGAGGUAACCGUAAGGAGCCAGCGGCCGAAGGUGGGGUCAAUGAUUGGGGUGAAGUC
Molecule: ribosomal RNA, 646 nt
Filed under: Clostridium sp.
Lineage: Bacteria; Bacillati; Bacillota; Clostridia; Eubacteriales; Clostridiaceae
Description: bacterial SSU rRNA
Rfam family: Bacterial small subunit ribosomal RNA
Source: RNAcentral